AAAGAUUAAGCCAUGCAUGUCUAAGUAUAAGCAAUUAUACCGUGAAACUGCGAAUGGCUCAUUAAAUCAGUUAUCGUUUAUUUGAUAAUACCUUACUACUUGGAUAACCGUGGUAAUUCUAGAGCUAAUACAUGCUGAAAAUCCCGACUUCGGAAGGGAUGUGUUUAUUAGAUAAAAAACCAAUGCCUUUCGGGGCUUUUUGGUGAUUCAUGAUAACUUUACGGAUCGCAUAGCCUUGCGCUGGCGACGGUUCAUUCAAAUUUCUGCCCUAUCAACUUUCGAUGGUAAGGUAUUGGCUUACCAUGGUUUCAACGGGUAACGGGGAAUUAGGGUUCGAUUCCGGAGAGGGAGCCUGAGAAACGGCUACCACAUCCAAGGAAGGCAGCAGGCGCGCAAAUUACCCAAUCCCGACACGGGGAGGUAGUGACAAUAAAUACUGAUACAGGGCUCUUUUGGGUCUUGUAAUUGGAAUGAGUACAAUUUAAACCUCUUAACGAGGAACAAUUGGAGGGCAAGUCUGGUGCCAGCAGCCGCGGUAAUUCCAGCUCCAAUAGCGUAUAUUAAAGUUGUUGCAGUUAAAAAGCUCGUAGUUGAAACUUGGGCCUGGCUGGCGGGUCCGCCUCACCGCGUGCACUCGUCCGGCCGGGCCUUCCUUCUGAAGAACCUCAUGCCCUUCACUGGGCGUGUUGGGGAAUCAGGACUUUUACUUUGAAAAAAUUAGAGUGUUCAAAGCAGGCCUUUGCUCGAAUACGUUAGCAUGGAAUAAUAAAAUAGGGCGUGCGUUUCUAUUUUGUUGGUUUCUAGAGACGCCGCAAUGAUUAACAGGAACAGUCGGGGGCAUCAGUAUUCAGUUGUCAGAGGUGAAAUUCUUGGAUUUACUGAAGACUAACUACUGCGAAAGCAUUUGCCAAGGAUGUUUUCAUUAAUCAGUGAACGAAAGUUAGGGGAUCGAAGACGAUCAGAUACCGUCGUAGUCUUAACCGUAAACUAUGCCGACUAGGGAUCGGGCGAUGUUCUUUUUUUGACUCGCUCGGCACCUCACGACAAA
This 1048-nucleotide ribosomal RNA is filed under the name Spadicoides xylogena. RNAcentral's name for it is "SSU rRNA". It matches the Rfam family "Eukaryotic small subunit ribosomal RNA", at positions 39 to 1097 of the family's 1831-position model. The record is from RNAcentral. Lineage: Eukaryota; Fungi; Ascomycota; Sordariomycetes; Xenospadicoidales; Xenospadicoidaceae.